UGGGGAAUAUUGCACAAUGGGCGCAAGCCUGAUGCAGCCAUGCCGCGUGUAUGAAGAAGGCCUUCGGGUUGUAAAGUACUUUCAGUCGGGAGGAAGGUGGUAAGGUUAAUAACCUUAUCAAUUGACGUUACCGACAGAAGAAGCACCGGCUAACUCCGUGCCAGCAGCCGCGGUAAUACGGAGGGUGCAAGCGUUAAUCGGAAUUACUGGGCGUAAAGCGCACGCAGGCGGUCUGUCAAGUCGGAUGUGAAAUCCCCGGGCUCAACCUGGGAACUGCAUUCGAAACUGGCAGGCUAGAGUCUUGUAGAGGGGGGUAGAAUUCCAGGUGUAGCGGUGAAAUGCGUAGAGAUCUGGAGGAAUACCGGUGGCGAAGGCAGCCCCCUGGACAAAGACUGACGCUCAGGUGCGAAAGCGUGGGGAGCAAACAGG
This 429-nucleotide ribosomal RNA is filed under the name Chloroflexota bacterium. Its description in RNAcentral is "Chloroflexi bacterium partial 16S ribosomal RNA". It matches the Rfam family "Bacterial small subunit ribosomal RNA", at positions 355 to 776 of the family's 1533-position model. The record is from RNAcentral. Lineage: Bacteria; Bacillati; Chloroflexota.